GGAGUGCGUCAGUCUGAGGACCUGAAUUAACCUGCGGGCAAGAUUGCAACAACAGGAGUGUCAACGCACGUAGGGUCAACAAGCCCUUUCUGGGCCAUGGGGAUGCAGUGAUGCAGCACCGGAGGCCAGCACCUGCACUUGGCUCUGGGACCACACCCACUGGAGGAGUUUACAAAAGGUUUCAUAGGAACACUACUUUCAGAUAGCCGGCGGUCGGAAACCUGUACAAGAAAUUGACAUUUUCAGGAAGUUUGGAAGAUGGCAGAGUAGGAAGAGCUGAAGUCACCUCCUCCCACGGGCACAACAAUCUGUAACUACCUGCAGAACAAUUUCCUCUGAAAAAGAUCUGGAAACUGGAUAAAAAGCACCCCCACAGCAAGGGACAACACUGAUGGGGUGGAAGAGGCAGAAAUACAGCCCUGCUGAGGGCAAAAACCACACCCAAGGUGCAAUGCUUCACCGGCAGCGAGCCAUCUCAAAGGUAGGGAGCUUUUCCCAGGGGAGCAUGGGAUCUGAGCAGGGGAGCUAUGCCACAGUAGGCAUCUGAGCUCUUAGAUGCAGCACAGCCAAGAUCCCAUGAUACCUGGCUUUGCUGGCUUUAAAAACCAACAUGGAAUAUGCCCAGAAAAACUAUAGAACUUCAGAGAAAGGAAAACCUCUUAAAUGGCCCCCACGCAGAUUCACCCGAUCCAAAAACCAACAUAAAAACCCUGGAUAGAAAAGUGCAUAGUCCAUUGGUAAAAGAGACUCGCUUGCCAAGCGUGGAGCAGAUCUCAGAGAGGCAGCAGGCAGGGACUGAGAAAUUGGGGCAGCCGUUAUUGUGACCUAGUACACAGAUGCUGACACAGAUGCUGGCAGCCACCAUUGGAUUCCUUCUGAUAGCCUGUUAGUGCAUGGGUUUGCCCCUCCUAGUAGAGCACCUAAGGCAAUUGAGUGCAGCCAGGUCAAGCAACCUGCCCCAGGGACUGGCCUCACCAACCGGGAGGCCCGCAGCAAACUUGUGGGGCUGUGUAGGUGGGGUGUGUGGGACCUUGGUGGUAGGGCAGGAGGAUCCAAGUUGGGGCAUGCUUGUGGGUCCACAGUGGAGGGACAUGUGGGCCUGUGGGCAGCGGGCCAUGUGGGUCCACAGGAGACUUGUGCCACUGGCCAUUGCAAACAGCCACACAGGGGAUCUGCUCCAUCUUCCAAUGCCUGAAACAAUUGUACGCUGCUGUGCCUGGGGUCAGCUCCACCCAUCUGCACUCCUGAAGCAGCUGUGUACCACAAGACAGCAUAGCCAGAUCUGACCAGAGGCCUGCCCUGCCCGAAAGAGAGCCGAUAACAGCCACACACCACAGGAAGCCACACUGGGGGCCUGCAGCAAUUGUGAGCCCCUGAACCUAGCAAACAGUCACAUUGGGAGCCUGAUACGCUUAACAGAAUAACAGCAGUAGUUAUGUGCGAUUAGACCUUGCAGCCAGCCAUGCCAGGGCUUGCCCCACCCAAUAAAUUAACCAUAGCAGCUGCAAUCAGCUGAGCCUUACAACCAACCAGCCUGGGGCCCAACCUAGCCUACCAUGUGCUCACAGCAAUGGCAACCCCGCUACAACAGAAAAGCACACUCAGCUCACACAGGGCUCACUCCUGCAGCAUUUGGCAGGAAUGACAAGAGAGGAACACAUUGCUGGGCCCCGUAAGACAUCUCUUACAUGAGGCUACAUUUCUAAGAUUGGGAGACAUAGCUGAUCUGCCUAAUACAUAGAUAUUAGCACAGAGAAGUAGGCAAGAUGAAGAGACAAAGCAAUAUGUUCCAAAUAAGGGAACAGAAAAAGAACUAAACAAAACAGAGAUAAACAAUCUACUUGAUAAAGAAUAUAAACUAAUACUCAUAAGGAUGCUCACUGACCUUGGGAGGAGAAUAGAUGAACAAAGUGAGAACUUCAACAAAGAAUUGGAAAAUAUAAAAAGAACCAGACAGAACAGAAGAAUACAAUAAUGGAAAUGAAAAAUUCACUAGAAGGAAUCAACAACGGAGUAGAUAAUACAAAAGAACAGAUCAGCAAGGAGGAUGAAAGGUUAGAGAAAAUCACCCAAGCUGAACAGAAAAAAGAAUUAAAAAGAUUUAACACAAUCUAAGAGACCUCUGGGACAACAUCAAGUGUACUAAUAUCCAUAUUAUAGAUGUCCCAGAAGAAGAAGAGGGAGACAAAGGGACAGAGAAUCUAUUUGAAGAAAUAAUAGCUGAAAACUUCCCUAACCUAGGGAAGAAAACAGACAUCCAAGUACAGGAAGCACAGAGAGCACCAAACAAGAUGAACCCAAAGAGGUCAACACCAAGAUUUGUUAUAAUUAAAAUGUCAAGAAUUAACGAUAAAGAGAGAAUCCUAAAAGCUGCAGGAGAAAAGCAAUAAAUUACAUACAAAGGAAACCCCAUAAGGCUAUUAGCUGACUUCUCAGCAGAAACCUUACAGGCUAGAAGGGAGUGGCAUGAUAUAUUUAAAGUGCUGAAAAGAAAAAAACCUACAGCCAAGAAUACUGUACCUGACAAGGUUAUCAUUCAGAAUGGAAGGAGAGAUAAAGAGUUUUUCAGAUAAGCAAAAACUAAAGGAGUUCAUCACCACUAAGCCAGCCUUAUAAGAAUUGUUAAAGGGACUUAUUUAAGUGGAAAAGAAAAGGACACCCAUAGGAAUAAGAAAAUUAUCAAAGAAAAAAAAUCACUGAUAAAGGCAAAUAUAAAAGUAGUAGAUCAACCACCUAUCAAAUAUGAAGGUCAAAAGACAAAAGUGCUGAAAUUAUCUAUUUCCAUCAUGAGAGGUUAAAAGAUACACAAAAAUAAAAAAGAUAAAAUAUGAUAUCAAAAACAAAACGUGGGGAUGGGGUAGUAAAUGUGUAGGGCUUUUAGUAAGAGGUCAGACUUAAAGAGAUAAUCAACUUAAUUAGAUUGCUAUUUAUGUAGGCUAUUAUAGAUGAACCUCAAGGUCAUCACAAACUGAGAGCAUGUAAUAAAUACAUAAAAUAAUAAAUAAAGGGAAAGAAACCCAAAUGUAACACUAAAGAAAGCCAUCAAGUCCCAAGGGAACAAAGCAAGUGAAGAAAGGAACAAAG
Equus caballus (horse) is the source of this 3084-nucleotide long non-coding RNA. Lineage: Eukaryota; Metazoa; Chordata; Mammalia; Perissodactyla; Equidae. The record is from Ensembl.